Molecule: non-coding RNA, 96 nt
Organism: Pterulicium gracile
Lineage: Eukaryota; Fungi; Basidiomycota; Agaricomycetes; Agaricales; Pterulaceae
Source: the annotation of a GenBank genome assembly
GUUCCCUUAGCUCAGUGGUUAGAGCGUGCGAUUGCAAUCCAUGAAUAUACUCGCGCACCCAUCGCAAGGUCCCGCGUUCAAAUCGCGGAGGGAACU